UGGUGGAGUGAUUUGUCUGGUUAAUUCCGAUAACGAACGAGACUCUAGCCUAUUAAAUAGAUUGUCGGCUUACAAACGCCGGCAAAUGCUUCUUAGAGGGACAGGCGGUGAUUCAACCGCACGAAACAGAGCAAUAACA
This 139-nucleotide ribosomal RNA is filed under the name uncultured eukaryote. Its description in RNAcentral is "partial 18S ribosomal RNA". It matches the Rfam family "Eukaryotic small subunit ribosomal RNA", at positions 1299 to 1458 of the family's 1831-position model. The record is from RNAcentral.